RNAcentral lists this ribosomal RNA (466 nucleotides) under uncultured bacterium. Its description in RNAcentral is "partial 16S ribosomal RNA". It matches the Rfam family "Bacterial small subunit ribosomal RNA", at positions 28 to 507 of the family's 1533-position model. The record is from RNAcentral.
GAUGAACGCUGGCGGCGUGCUUAACACAUGCAAGUCGAACGGAAAGGCCCAAGCUUGCUUGGGUACUCGAGUGGCGAACGGGUGAGUAACACGUGGGUGAUCUGCCCUGCACUUCGGGAUAAGCCUGGGAAACUGGGUCUAAUACCGGAUAGGACCACAUUUUGGAUGGUGUGGUGGAAAGUUUUUCGGUGUGGGAUGAGCUCGCGGCCUAUCAGCUUGUUGGUGGGGUAAUGGCCUACCAAGGCGUCGACGGGUAGCCGGCCUGAGAGGGUGUACGGCCACAUUGGGACUGAGAUACGGCCCAGACUCCUACGGGAGGCAGCAGUGGGGAAUAUUGCACAAUGGGCGCAAGCCUGAUGCAGCGACGCCGCGUGGGGGAUGACGGCCUUCGGGUUGUAAACGCCUUUCGCUAGGGACGAAGCGUUAUGUGACGGUACCUGGAGAAGAAGCACCGGCUAACUACGUG